AGUGAGUGUGUCUGGGGGAACGAUCGAACAAGGAAGGAGGAGGGGGAAACCCUAAACUCAAGAAAUCAAGCAAUUGAAGCCUAAAAUCAUAAGAAAAUCCAGUGCAUGAGCCAUCUUAUCGAUCAUCUAAGCAUACCUAGUGAAGUGCUUGAAAGAAUAAGAACCAUGUCAAGAUGGACCAACUCAUGGGAAGCAAACGGGUCAAAGAGGAGGCAAAGAAACUAGCAUAAACAUGGCGAGCACAAGAUGGCUGAUGCAAGCAACGUUAAUGAUGAUGAUGAUACUAUUCGUCAAGAAGCAUUAUUCAACAAGAUCACAGAAGUGGCGGAAGGGAUGAUCCGUGAACGCGGUCUAGGACCGACAUCAAGCUUGAAAGAAUAAGAACCAUGUCAAGAUGGACCAACUCAUGGGAAGCAAACGGGUCAAAGAGGAGGCAAAGAAACUAGCAUAAACAUGGCGAGCACAAGGUAAGUGAUUUCUAUAAUCACUUCUUUAGUUGUUUAAGUAAUAUAAUGUUUUAAUUAUUAAGUUCAUAUGAAGUUGAGGUCAAAUCAAUAGAUUAUUUUGAUAAAUGCACGAAUGGGUCGAAUAAUUCAUAGAUAAAUAACAAGCCGAAUACGUAUAAGUUAAGAAAUUCCUUAACUCGGAUGUUGGACUUCAAGGUCACAUGAUAGAAUAUUAAAUUACAAUCAUAUAGGAAGAAACGUGACGCAAAACGGAUGAAAAAUGAGAGAGUUAUGUCCGUUUCGGUAAGGAUUAAUGGCUAGGAAAAGUGCAGAGUUGACACGGCCGGGUGGUGAACUGACACGGCCGGGUGAAGGUUCUGUCAAAAAUAUUAUUUAUGUGAUUUAUGCGCCGUAGGUUUCGGUAUAUUAUCCAUGAACUACGACGGGCCUCCCAAACAUGAUUUCGAGUGUUUCCUUGACGAUUAUAAGUUGUAAACCCAAGUCUAAGCCUCAUGUAAUUUAUAUAAGAGUGUGUUAGAUGUAUGUAAUGAGGUUGGACAUGUAUUACAUGUAAAUGUAUACAAAAAUACGUACGGAACACGUAGGUAUGAAUACAUGAUUGUAGGUGUGAUUAAAUGUAUAUUAGGUAUGUAGAUGUGUAUGAUUGUAAGAUUGUAUGUGUGCAAGUAUGUGCGAAUGCAUGAUUUGGAUGCAUUUGAGAAUUAGCAUUACUAAUAAUGCCCUUGGGUUUGGAAUAUAAGUUAAUUGGAUGCAUUUAAAUGGUUGACGUCCUUUUUAUGAAGAUGUAGUAAAUGAAUAUGUUGAGAUUACGGGUUUGGCUAACCAAGUUAUUAUUGAGUAUGUUUAAAAGUGCAGGUAAUGAAUGUCGGACUUCCAAAGUGUUGAUAUAAUAAUGAAACGGUUGAAUCUUGAAAGGAUAAUCGGAUUGAACUAACUUAUGCGGUUAAAAUAUGCUGUGGACGUUUUAGUUUAUACAACAUUUUAUGUUUGGUCGUCAUCAUCUACCAACGGGUUAGUUGUUUGAAAAUAUAUGUCAUACCCAUUUAAUUGGGUAAUCGAAUGCGCGAGAGAAAUGAAAGUACAUACACGAAUGGAACUAAAGUGACAGUUUUAUAAGUAAAUAAGUAAAUGACUAACUUUUUAAAGCUUUGUUGUUGAAUGUAGGUAAAUCCUCAAUUCAGGCGACUUGGAGAAUCGGAGCGAGCGCAUGUUCAUGUUAUGUCAUACCAAAUGCUUCCGCUAGCUUGUUCAAAUGUUUUUAGUCCAAAAUUUGUUGUAUUGGUUCUUAGUAGUAUUUUGUCGAAUGAAUCGUAGAAUUGUAUCUAGUUUGAUUAUGUUUAAAACAGGGGAAUGCUCGUUUUAUGGACGGGUCAUGCCCAAUUUUUGUUAAAUCAAUGCACCUGCGUUAUU
This 1877-nucleotide long non-coding RNA is filed under the name Helianthus annuus (common sunflower). RNAcentral describes it as "hypothetical non coding rna". The record is from RNAcentral. Lineage: Eukaryota; Viridiplantae; Streptophyta; Magnoliopsida; Asterales; Asteraceae.